ACAAAGAUAAGAUUAGACUUUCUCAGUGCAUACGUAUCAGAUAUCUUUCUCAAAGGUCCAUUUUUAGCUUCAAACAUGAAUCAAGAGACAAUACUCUGCAUAAUAUAUCAAGGUUCUAUCUGCAUUCUCUCAUCUUCUUUUGAGGUAGAAAAUGAUUCUCAAAUAGGAUAUUUGAAACAAUUUAAGAUCAAUGCAACACACAUAAAUAAUAAUGUAGAGAGAAAUUCUCAACUCAAUAAUGCACAUAUUUAGAAAAGAUAAUGUCAUGUACCUCAUUGAUGUCAAUCUCAUGGCAAUUAGUGGUUCAAAGUGAGCUGUUUAACUUUGUUGUUGGAUAGAGAUAUUCAUCCUUAAGCUUUGCCACCAAUCAUUACUAUCAACAUUUCUAGAAUGAUCAUCUUGUUUUAUCAGAUAGAAAUUUUAGAACUUAG
This 431-nucleotide long non-coding RNA is filed under the name Panax ginseng (ginseng). RNAcentral's name for it is "long non-coding RNA (PGIN_LNC010854)". Lineage: Eukaryota; Viridiplantae; Streptophyta; Magnoliopsida; Apiales; Araliaceae. The record is from RNAcentral.